RNAcentral lists this transfer RNA (72 nucleotides) under Micromonospora craterilacus. RNAcentral's name for it is "Jishengella sp. NA12 tRNA-OTHER". It matches the Rfam family "tRNA". From Rfam's summary of the family: Transfer RNA (tRNA) molecules are approximately 80 nucleotides in length. Their secondary structure includes four short double-helical elements and three loops (D, anti-codon, and T loops). Lineage: Bacteria; Bacillati; Actinomycetota; Actinomycetes; Micromonosporales; Micromonosporaceae. The record is from RNAcentral.
CGGUCGGUAGCUCAAGGGCAGAGCACCGCCGCAGGGCGGGGGUUGCGGGUUCGAAUCCCGUCCGGCCAUGCA